AAGAAGGUGGCAGAGUGGUUAUGCGAUUGGCUUGAAACCAAUACAUGGGGGUUCAAUUCCCUCCUUUCUCG
RNAcentral lists this transfer RNA (71 nucleotides) under Microrasbora rubescens. RNAcentral's name for it is "tRNA-Ser". It matches the Rfam family "tRNA". From Rfam's summary of the family: Transfer RNA (tRNA) molecules are approximately 80 nucleotides in length. Lineage: Eukaryota; Metazoa; Chordata; Actinopteri; Cypriniformes; Danionidae. The record is from RNAcentral.